GGAGGAUCCGAGCGUUAUCCGGAUUUAUUGGGUUUAAAGGGAGCGUAGAUGGAUGUUUAAGUCAGUUGUGAAUGUUUGCGGCUCAACCGUAAAACUGCAGUUGAUACUGGAUGUCUUGAGUGCAGUUGAGGCAGGCGGAAUUCGUGGUGUAGCGGUGAAAUGCUUAGAUAUCACGAAGAACUCCGAUUGCGAAGGCAGCCUGCUAANCUGCAACUGACAUUGAGGCUCGAAAGUGUGGGUAUCAAACAGGAUUAAAUACCCUGGUAGUCCACACANUAAACNAUGAAUACUCGCUGUUUGCNAUAUACUGCANGCGNCCAAGCGAAAGCNUUAANUNUUCCNCCUGGGGAGU
RNAcentral lists this ribosomal RNA (352 nucleotides) under uncultured bacterium. RNAcentral describes it as "partial 16S ribosomal RNA". It matches the Rfam family "Bacterial small subunit ribosomal RNA", at positions 527 to 881 of the family's 1533-position model. The record is from RNAcentral.